UGAUUGUGACAGUAUUUACAAAUAGCAACCCAUGUGACCUUACUCUUGGCUAGUCAACCGGUAAAGUUAUUGUGCAAGAUAUAUAAUAUACUGAUAGACGGAUUAACGAGGACGAACUUCAUUUUUAGAGCGAUCGUAGUUGAAUAACAACCUAGAAAAUGUUGCGACUAGCAUUACUAUCAGUCUGUGCCUUGUAUGUAUUGAGCUACGCACCUUCGGUUAAUUGUGGUUGCUGCACGCCUGAACAAUGGGAGGGCACCGAAGGAUUAAUUGGAGGUUACUAUCGGUGGGGUAGACCAUCACUCAUUUCCGGUGGUUCCAGGGUGGCUUAUGACGGAAUGGGAAAACGAGUUGCAGCUGUAAGCAACAUACAGACAAAGCGAGGACGGUAUGCUGUGCGAGUCAUUGAAAAUUACUCAGAGCGCACUUUGUACAUGAUCAAUCUUUCAAAAAAAAAAUGCAGAAAACUACCCUUAAAAAGAGAGUUCCGUAAAGCUUGUAUUCCAGAUGAUGCCAAAUUGGUGGCAGAAACAUACAUAGGUGCAGGAGACAACACAUUGGGCACAUCCAGCUAUGCUUUAAGAAUGGUCGACAAGAAAAAGCGAGUUCUGUUGGAUGCCUUCGUUAGUGUUACUACAGACGGCUGCAUCCCAAUAAGUGAAACACUAACAGGAAGUGUUAAGAGAGUCUCUUUCUUGGAUAUCAUCGGUUUUGUUAACGUAACGGCCGGAAUUGAAGACGAAAAGGUGUUCGAUCCACCAAGCUACUGUGAUGACGAGGCUACGGAUGAUUUUGAGAUUCAAGAAACACAGUUAUACAGAGAGUUCAGAAUUUUUGGAAUGUGAGUCUUGAAAGAAAUACAGUCUCCUACACAUUACACAUCUAACAGCUUAUAUAUGUAGAAUUGCCAGUGUACAUGUGAGCUACGUGUUCUUUCCAAUAUAGAUCUAUUUUUUUUAUAUUUCAUGCACGUAUAUAUAUUUUAGAAAGUAUAGGCCUAUUUGCAUUUUAUGUAUAUCAAAUUAAAUCUCACAAUUUCAAGAAUCAUAAAUAACCAGAUCUGAGAAAAUAGUAGGCUACUAAGCUUAUUUUGUGCUCAUAAUUCCAUUGUUGUACGUGUUUAUUUUUUCUUUUGUACCUUAAUAUGUUCAGUGAUAGUUCUCUUUUGUUUUCAAAUAAAAUAUAUUUUUAACAGUAGAA
This is a long non-coding RNA of Patella vulgata (common limpet), 1200 nucleotides long. RefSeq lists it as uncharacterized. Lineage: Eukaryota; Metazoa; Mollusca; Gastropoda; Patellidae. The record is from RefSeq and is a predicted model, not a curated record. The transcript has 6 exons.